Molecule: long non-coding RNA, 501 nt
Organism: Homo sapiens (human)
Lineage: Eukaryota; Metazoa; Chordata; Mammalia; Primates; Hominidae
Exons: 2
Source: RefSeq, a predicted model, not a curated record
GCCAGAUAAACUGCAAAAUCAUAACUUCUCUUGAACCCAUCAGAGAGCUAAGUAGCCUGAAAUCCAAGUCAAGACAUGACAUAAGCAUGCUUCACCUGUGUUAGAGCAUGUAAGGAAAAGAUGGAUGUCAGGGACACAUGAACAAGCUUCCUUCCAAUGCAUACUAAUAACAAAGAUGGCAGGCAUGGAGAUUACAGAAAGCUUCUCUCACUGGUGCAUGCCUGGAGGAAGGAAAAGCUCCUUUCCAAAGAAAAACCAGGAAGCCAGCUAGACCCUAGCCCUUAUAAAACAGAAGUCUUUAGCCCCUGGAGGAGCAUGUAGCAAACUAUUGCUCCCAGAGCACAGUGGAAGAAGACUUAUUACAGCUGAGAAAUGGAUAGAUAAAAAGGAACCCUAAAUUGCAGAUGAUGCCAGAUACGUCUGCCAAAAUGUUGGAUUUUUCUCUGUGAUGUCAGGUUUUAGAUCUUUUGCUUUUAAAUAAAGAUAUAAUGAUGAAUAAAA